GCCGGUAUAGCUCAGUUGGUAGAGCAUCUGAUUUGUAAUCAGAGGGUCGGGAGUUCAAGUCUCUCUGCCGGCA
RNAcentral lists this transfer RNA (73 nucleotides) under Rhodobiaceae bacterium UBA7378. It matches the Rfam family "tRNA". From Rfam's summary of the family: Transfer RNA (tRNA) molecules are approximately 80 nucleotides in length. Lineage: Bacteria; Pseudomonadati; Pseudomonadota; Alphaproteobacteria; Hyphomicrobiales; Rhodobiaceae. The record is from Rfam by way of RNAcentral.